Molecule: ribosomal RNA, 254 nt
Filed under: uncultured bacterium
Lineage: Bacteria
Description: partial 16S ribosomal RNA
Rfam family: Bacterial small subunit ribosomal RNA
Source: RNAcentral
UACGGGGGGAGCAAGCGUUGUUCGGAUUUACUGGGCGUAAAGGGCGCGUAGGCGGUCGUGACAAGUCACUUGUGAAAUCUCCGGGCUUAACUCGGAACGGUCAAGUGAUACUGUCGGACUAGAGUACAGAAGGGGCAACUGGAAUUCUCGGUGUAGCGGUGAAAUGCGUAGAUAUCUGGAGGAACACCGGUGGCGAAGGCGGCAUCCUGGACCGACACUGACACUGAGGAGCGAAAGCCAGGGGAGCAAACGGG